GCUGGAGGAUUUCCGGAGCAACAGCAGCAGCAGUAGACAGUCAGUUCCCGCUCAGUUCAGCAGCUACUUCGAGGUACCUCUUCGUCGAAGGGGAAGGAGCCGGCGCGGUAGCGGCACAUCAUGCACACACACGAGUUUCCGCACUUACGAGAUUCUCUGGGAUUUAUACUCUGAUAUUUUGAUGAUUGUAUGAUUUGACUUUUAGACAUGGCUUACGUUUUUUUAUGGUUUGAUCAAACAAUGUUUUAAACUAUUAAUGUUUUUCUAAA
Molecule: non-coding RNA, 269 nt
Organism: Lactuca sativa (garden lettuce)
Lineage: Eukaryota; Viridiplantae; Streptophyta; Magnoliopsida; Asterales; Asteraceae
Source: RefSeq, a predicted model, not a curated record